AACGAACGCUGGCGGCAUGCCUAACACAUGCAAGUCGAACGAGACCUCCGUGUCUAGUUGCGCUCGGGUGCGUAACGCGUGGGAACCUGCCCUUAUGUUCGGAAUACUUCCCCUUCAGGGGUGCUAAUACAGGAUAAUGUCUUCUGACCAAAGAUUUAUCGCGUUUGUAUGGGCCCGCGAUGGUUUAGCCUGUUGGUAGUGUAAGAGCCUAUCAAGGCGUCGAUCCUUAGCUGGUAUGAGAGCAAGAGCAGCCACACUUGGGGUCAGAAACGGCCCAGAAUAUUACGGAAUGGAGGAGAGGGGGAUACUGGAAGACGGCGGAAGGCAUGAUCCAGCAAGGCCGGGUGAGUGAUGAUGGCCUUAGGGAAGUGAAGCUCUUUUACACGGGAUGAUAAUGACGGUACCGGGAGAAUAAGCACCGGCUAACUCCGUG
Molecule: ribosomal RNA, 433 nt
Filed under: uncultured bacterium
Lineage: Bacteria
Description: partial 16S ribosomal RNA
Rfam family: Bacterial small subunit ribosomal RNA
Source: RNAcentral